UGCUGGAGGUAUCAGAAGUGCGAAUGCUGACAUAAGUAACGAUAAAGCGGGUGAAAAGCCCGCUCGCCGGAAGACCAAGGGUUCCUGUCCAACGUUAAUCGGGGCAGGGUGAGUCGACCCCUAAGGCGAGGCCGAAAGGCGUAGUCGAUGGGAAACAGGUUAAUAUUCCUGUACUUGGUGUUACUGCGAAGGGGGGACGGAGAAGGCUAUGUUAGCCGGGCGACGGUUGUCCCGGUUUAAGCAUGUAGGCUGAUUAUCCAGGCAAAUCCGGAUAAUCAAGGCUGAGGUGUGAUGACGAGGCACUACGGUGCUGAAGUAACAAAUGCCCUGCUUCCAGGAAAAGCCUCUAAGCAUCAGGUAACAUCAAAUCGUACCCCAAACCGACACAGGUGGUCAGGUAGAGAAUACCAAGGCGCUUGAGAGAACUCGGGUGAAGGAACUAGGCAAAAUGGUGCCGUAACUUCGGGAGAAGGCACGCUGGUGUGUAGGUGAAGUCCCUGCGGAUGGAGCUGAGACCAGUCGAAGAUACCAGCUGGCUGCAACUGUUUAUUAAAAACACAGCACUGUGCAAACACGAAAGUGGACGUAUACGGUGUGACGCCUGCCCGGUGCCGGAAGGUUAAUUGAUGGGGUUAUCCGUAAGGAGAAGCUCUUGAUCGAAGCCCCGGUAAACGGCGGCCGUAACUAUAACGGUCCUAAGGUAGCGAAAUUCCUUGUCGGGUAAGUUCCGACCUGCACGAAUGGCGUAAUGAUGGCCAGGCUGUCUCCACCCGAGACUCAGUGAAAUUGAACUCGCUGUGAAGAUGCAGUGUACCCGCGGCAAGACGGAAAGACCCCGUGAACCUUUACUAUAGCUUGACACUGAACAUUGAGCCUUGAUGUGUAGGAUAGGUGGGAGGCUUUGAAGCGUGGACGCCAGUCUGCGUGGAGCCAACCUUGAAAUACCACCCUUUAAUGUUUGAUGUUCUAACGUUGGCCCCUUACCGGGGUUGCGGACAGUGUCUGGUGGGUAGUUUGACUGGGGCGGUCUCCUCCCAAAGCGUAACGGAGGAGCACGAAGGUUAGCUAAUCCUGGUCGGACAUCAGGAGGUUAGUGCAAUGGCAUAAGCUAGCUUGACUGCGAGCGUGACGGCGCGAGCAGGUGCGAAAGCAGGUCAUAGUGAUCCGGUGGUUCUGAAUGGAAGGGCCAUCGCUCAACGGAUAAAAGGUACUCCGGGGAUAACAGGCUGAUACCGCCCAAGAGUUCAUAUCGACGGCGGUGUUUGGCACCUCGAUGUCGGCUCAUCACAUCCUGGGGCUGAAGUAGGUCCCAAGGGUAUGGCUGUUCGCCAUUUAAAGUGGUACGCGAGCUGGGUUUAGAACGUCGUGAGACAGUUCGGUCCCUAUCUGCCGUGGGCGCUGGAGAAUUGAGGGGGGCUGCUCCUAGUACGAGAGGACCGGAGUGGACGCAUCACUGGUGUUCGGGUUGUCAUGCCAAUGGCACUGCCCGGUAGCUAAAUGCGGAAGAGAUAAGUGCUGAAAGCAUCUAAGCACGAAACUUGCCCCGAGAUGAGUUCUCCCUGAGACUUUAAGUCUCCUGAAGGAACGUUAAAGACGAUGACGUUGAUAGGCCGGGUGUGUAAGCGCAGCGAUGCGUUGAGCUAACCGGUACUAAUGAACCGUGAGGCUUAACCUU
This 1675-nucleotide ribosomal RNA is filed under the name Klebsiella pneumoniae. Its description in RNAcentral is "partial 23S ribosomal RNA". It matches the Rfam family "Bacterial large subunit ribosomal RNA", at positions 1271 to 2925 of the family's 2925-position model. The record is from RNAcentral. Lineage: Bacteria; Pseudomonadati; Pseudomonadota; Gammaproteobacteria; Enterobacterales; Enterobacteriaceae.